This is a long non-coding RNA of Peromyscus californicus insignis, 2643 nucleotides long. RefSeq lists it as uncharacterized. NCBI's taxonomy places the organism in Eukaryota, Metazoa, Chordata, Mammalia, Rodentia, Cricetidae. The transcript is spliced from 3 exons. The record is from RefSeq and is a predicted model, not a curated record.
CUGGCUGCCCACCGUCCUGAAUGUCAAGCCCUGUCCUGUGUCGCCAGUGCAGUGAAUCGCACAGUCAUGCUACAGGCUGUUCUUAGUAGAGCCUUCAUGUGUUAGCAUCCAGAUAAGGCAGAGAAACCUGGGGGAAGAGUAGGAGCUGAGAUGGAAAUGGGUGGUGGGUGGUGGUGGAAAGUUGGGCAAGGAACUUUUCUUAGAAGUAAUUCCAUAAGUGUUUGUUUACUAAAAGGCCGAGGUGAAUUCUUGGAAUGAGCUGAGGUGGGGAGAAGAUACCGAGACAGAACAAACUACCCCCCUCCCCACCCCAACACACCAACCCCCCAACAAACAAACAAACAAAACGCUGAGAAAUGAAACAUAGGUGUCAGAAAAGAAAUCAAACUAAUUUUUAAUGAAAUAGACUAAAAUUGAUUUUCUUGAAUCUUAGUAGCUUCUACUUCCAUCAGUGAGCUGCGCCAACCUUCUGAUGGGGCCAGUCUUCAUGACCCGAUGAAACUACAUUGCAAACGGGAAGAGACUUCAAGACCCACCCAUCAAGGCCCACCAAUCUAAAUGUCUUCAGAUACGCUCUGCUGGCAUGGACGGAUCCAAGAUAUAUAAGACACGUUCCUCAAUUCCUACUGGCUUAGGAUUUGAGAGAAGUAAAAGUAGCAGAUCCUACAGGCUGACAUGAUAAAGGAUCUCAGGAGGACCACAGACCUAAGGAAAUGAGAACUGUGAGGAUGUAUUAUGGCGAACUCUAGAACAUCUAUCAUGUAUAAAAUCUAACUAUGAAAUAGAAACGGGCGGACUUGCAUCCUAGAGUAUGGUAAUAACUGAUGAUUGGCUGUUAAAAAAUCUGAAGAUUAGGACAAAUAUGUGGGUUCACCCAUGCAACAAUUCCUGAUUAAAACUAAGUAGAGUUCUGUGGCAGUAGAGAUAAUGGUCUUCCUGGAGAAGGGAGCAGGAAAAAAUGGGUCAGAAUACAACCUAUUUUUUCAACACACACUUUACUGAAACGGGACCUAGGAAUACAAAAUAAUUGCAACCUGAGAAGAAAAGCACAGAUGGUCCCUCCUUAUGAAGGAGGAGUCGCCUCAGCACACACUUCUCAGGGUGUGCACUUUCAUGUGUGUGUACACUGUGUGUGUGACUGUGAGUACCCUUGUGCGUCCAUAAGGAGGCCAGAGGUUGACAUCAUUGUCUUCCUCAACUGUUCUCCAUCUUAUUUUUAGGGUCAGAGUCUCUGAGUGGACUGGGAGCUGACUGAUUCAGCUAGACUGGCUGACCAUGACUCCCAGGGACCUUCCUGGAGCCACAUCCUUAGUGCUAAGAUCAUAGGCACAUUCAGCCACUCCUGGCUUUGUAUUAUCAAGUGCCAGGGAUCUACCACCCUCAGUGUAAAGACCUCCACUCUCCUGGCUGUGCCAUCUACCUGGCCCUCUCUAACAGCAAAUGCUCUUAUAGGAAAUAACGAAGAGUCAUGAUGCUCAGAGGGCUUCCUAGAAACAUCAGUCUCCAAGGAUGUGUAUGGAUGGAGUCAGGAGAAGAGAUGGUCAGUAGAAAACCAAAGUACAAGUUUGAACUCAAACGCCAGUAGGCAUGAUGAUUAUACUUGCUUGUGAUGAAUAUGCAAAUAAACACCAAUCACAUCUUAACCUUUGGAAGUUAAAAUUGGAGAGUGGCAGAAAACAUCUUGGGCAAACUGUUAUUCCCACAUAAGGGAUUAUUAUUAUAUUAUUUACAUAGAAAAAAACCAAUCCCAAAUCAAUCUUUUGACAGUUGAAGAUUGAUGAAAAUGCUUAUUCACUCAUUAUACUCAAAUCCGUUAAACUCCUGCUAUGUGUUAUAUAAAGCAUUGAUCAGGAUUAGGAAACUGUCUUGUUAUUCUUUUAGCUCUCCUCAAGCCUUUCUGCAUUAAGUUUAUUUUUAGCCUAAAGACACAACAAGGUAGCAACUUACUAACAGUCUUAAGACAUCUAUUUAAUUCUCAGAGAUGCUCUCGCCAGUGAGCUUGGAGAAUAACAUGAAAUCUGUGUCUUCCCUGUAUGUCUGGCAAUCAUACUAGCAAAUCAUUUUAAACUGUUGGAACCGCAGGGUGGCAGCAGCACCCUUUGGCAUUUUCCUGUGAACCAACACAUGAAUGAAGCACCAGGAAUAGAGGCCACUGGACAGACCUUUCCUUAUACCUGGCAGUCCUGAGUGAGGGAAUUAUCCAGAGAAAACCACACUCCAGCUACAAAAGACAUUUAACCCAAGGGUGUUGAAGAGGGUGUGACUCUUGCUUCCUUCAUAGUUUGUACCGGUGGUGGAAACCUUUACUCCAGGCAAGACAAGCUUGUGCGACCUUGAGAUGUCUUCAUCUGCAGAGAGCCUCGACUCUGGAAGCUCUAGACCUUGCAGAGGCCAACUUCACACAGGUCUAAAGAAGGAAGAACACUUUCCCUAGUUCAUUGAGCUAGAAGCCUGUGUGUGAUUGACAGAUGGGAGGAGGAUACCUAUACUUGCCUAUAACUGGUUUUGAAAAAAGAGGAAGUUGGGCUGUGAUUGACACAAGUUGUAAGUGCCAUAUUUGCAUACCACGCACCCUUUCUAGCUGUGUGGCCCACUUUUCCAGUUUGCCAGGUAAACGUCUUUGCACAUCAACACUGGUUCCAA